Molecule: transfer RNA, 361 nt
Filed under: uncultured Microcystis sp.
Lineage: Bacteria; Bacillati; Cyanobacteriota; Cyanophyceae; Chroococcales; Microcystaceae
Description: partial 16S-23S ribosomal RNA intergenic spacer
Rfam family: tRNA (bases 136-209)
Source: RNAcentral
AAAGGGAGACCUAAUUCAGGUAGGAGACGAAAAAAAAGUAGUCGCUACCAAGAAUCAAUCCCAAAAGGUCGGAGCGAGGCGAAAUUGGCUUUCAAACUAGGUUCUGGGUUCAAACAAGACCUGAAUCAGGAACAAGGGCUAUUAGCUCAGGUGGUUAGAGCGCACCCCUGAUAAGGGUGAGGUCCCUGGUUCGAGUCCAGGAUGGCCCACCUGCACAGGUGGCAAAAACAAGAGAAGCGAGGAAUCAGCACCUUAUCUUACUUAUAUAGUAAGAGAGAAUGCUGGCUCUGAGUUCAGAGUCCAGAGGAACCUUGAAAACUGCAUAGAGCUAGGUGAAAAAGCCAAAAAAGAAGACCGCAAG